Molecule: non-coding RNA, 282 nt
Organism: Eurypyga helias (sunbittern)
Lineage: Eukaryota; Metazoa; Chordata; Aves; Eurypygiformes; Eurypygidae
Source: Rfam
GUGCAUGCUGGGCUAUAAUUUAUGAAAUGGAGCCCAGCAAACAACCAAUCCCUUAGCUCCUCCUAACAAGUCCAACUGGCUAUGAAAAGCUGGAAGUGCUGCACAGAACAAUGAAGAGGAGCUAUCCCACAUAUUAAUCUGCUUAUCUGGGAUUGCUUUCUGUGUAGAGAGAAGGAAGCGUGUAACAAGGAGAGGGGAAAAAAAAAAAAAGAAAGAUCACAGAUUUACUGUUGAAACAGCAGAAUAAACUCCAGUCUAAAGGCAAAUCUUCCACUGUAGUUG